ACCCUCCGGUUCCCUUUCCCAUCAGAUUGCAACACUGGUCUUAGUGUCGUAAGGAGGGAGAGCAUGCUGGAGCUGGCCUCACAGCCUUGUGGUCUGGUAUAAGCAUGUGGGCUAGAUUCAAACGGGG
Nannospalax galili (Upper Galilee mountains blind mole rat) is the source of this 127-nucleotide small nucleolar RNA. Lineage: Eukaryota; Metazoa; Chordata; Mammalia; Rodentia; Spalacidae. The record is from Ensembl.